GACGAACGCUGGCGGCGUGCUUAACACAUGCAAGUCGAGCGGUAAGGCCCUUUCGGGGGUACACGAGCGGCGAACGGGUGAGUAACACGUGGGUGACCUGCCCUCAGCUCCGGGAUAAGCCUGGGAAACUGGGUCUAAUACUGGAUAUGACUCCACGGUGCAUGUCGUGGGGUGGAAAGCCUUGUGCGGCUGAGGAUGGGCCCGCGGCCUAUCAGCUUGUUGGUGGGGUGAUGGCCUACCAAGGCGACGACGGGUAGCCGGCCUGAGAGGGCGACCGGCCACACUGGGACUGAGACACGGCCCAGACUCCUACGGGAGGCAGCAGUGGGGAAUCUUGCGCAAUGGGCGAAAGCCUGACGCAGCGACGCCGCGUGAGGGAUGACGGCCU
This 388-nucleotide ribosomal RNA is filed under the name uncultured bacterium. RNAcentral's name for it is "bacterial SSU rRNA". It matches the Rfam family "Bacterial small subunit ribosomal RNA", at positions 28 to 417 of the family's 1533-position model. The record is from RNAcentral.